This 465-nucleotide ribosomal RNA is filed under the name uncultured bacterium. RNAcentral's name for it is "partial 16S ribosomal RNA". It matches the Rfam family "Bacterial small subunit ribosomal RNA", at positions 338 to 795 of the family's 1533-position model. The record is from RNAcentral.
CCUACGGGAGGCAGCAGUGGGGAAUAUUGCGCAAUGGGCGAAAGCCUGACGCAGCGACGCCGCGUGAGGGAUGAAGGUCUUCGGAUCGUAAACCUCUGUCAGCAGGGAAGAACGGUCACUGUGCUAAUCAGCAGUGAAUUGACCGUACCUGCAAAGGAAGCACCGGCUAACUCCGUGCCAGCAGCCGCGGUAAUACGGAGGGUGCGAGCGUUAAUCGGAAUUACUGGGCGUAAAGCGCUCGUAGGCGGUAUGUCAAGUCAAGGGUGAAAUCCCCGCGCUCAACGUGGGAACUGCCUUUGAAACUGGCAGACUGGAGUGUGGGAGAGGAGAGUGGAAUUCGAGGUGUAGGAGUGAAAUCCGUAGAUAUCUGGAGGAACAUCAGUGGCGAAGGCGACUAUCUGGCACAUAACUGACGCUGAGGAGCGAAAGCGUGGGUAGCAAACAGGAUUAGAUACCCGAGUAGUC